This is a small nuclear RNA of Pteropus vampyrus (large flying fox), 105 nucleotides long. NCBI's taxonomy places the organism in Eukaryota, Metazoa, Chordata, Mammalia, Chiroptera, Pteropodidae. The record is from Ensembl.
GUGCUAACUUCCGCAGCACAAAUAAUAAAUAGAAUGACACAGAGAAGAUUAGCAUGGCUCCUGUGCAAGGAUAACUCACAAAUUCAUGAAACGUUCCUUUUUUUU